CACCGCCGCGCCGCACCGAACGUCUUCAUCGCCUGCAGUCGAUCUGUCUGCGCCGAUUUGUAUUUACUAUUCAUUAAUUAUUUGGUACCUUAUCCCUAGUUAUAGUAGUUACUAGUUUAGUACGGUAGUAGCCGUCGUAACAUUGAGUCGUCCGUCGUUCUAGAGUUGUCGGUCGUGUGUGUCGUCUCCCAACACUCGUUCGUCGGGAUAAAUAGACGAAAAUAGACGUGCGCGAUCGAUUAUUAUAAUAUGCAGUGUGGCGGACGAUCCGAAAUGUGUCGGAUACAUCGAAAUUAACUUGCGUUUAGACCUUGAACGGUUGUACGUAUUGUUAUAUUGUUAUCAUCGCACAAAUAAUUCGAUUAAACCCGUCGAAAAUAAUAAUAACUACAUAUUUACUCGGUCGUGCCAUACAUAAUAUAAUAGUUUGAGCGAUUCUUUGGAUAUUUAUGGGAUGUAAUUCGAGCAAAAGUACGUCUAAAGCUGUACACAAAAAAAAAUUACUACCCAUCAUGAGCUUCCUGCCGUCCAGCAAUGCUAAUCAAUACCAAAAAAAGCAGAUACCAGCAACCAAAGGAUUAGCAUCAUCUUUUGGAUUCAAAAAGACGACACAAACCAAUAAGAUCAGACCAAUAUCAGCUCCUAUUCCGUUUGUUGAAAAGCCAAACAAUUUUGAAUCUAAAAUGCUACCCAAGCCAAUGUCAACACCUACGGAAAAGUGUUCAAGAAGUAUACCUAAAAGUAAUACACCUUCUCCCAACAGGUUUGGAUUCUGUAAACCAGCAACAAAACUUGUUCAACCCACAACACAAGUAACAACAAAAAAAGUAGAAGUGGAAAGAAGAAGUCAAUCUGAACCACAAAAAAGGGAAAUUCCUAAACUUUAUUCAAGUGGAACAAAAAUUGCUGUGUCCAGAGUUACCUCUAGUCAUUUACCUAGGCCUCAAAUACCAAUCAGAUAUCAAGUAUCCAAAAGUCCCGAUAAAAAUGCCAAAACAGCUGCCAACAUGAGACUAAAGAAUGAAGCAAUCAAACAAAUGCAUCAAGGAGUAACCAUUCGAAAGUUAACUGACUCUGUUGAAUUUACAGAAGUAAUUGCUUUUAAUAGACCAUCAAGGCUAACAAUAAAUUCAAAUGCUAAAGGUUCUUUAAUUAGGGAACGAGCUAAUAAAUAUUUAAGACAAGUGUCAAGUUCAUCUUCAAAACAUUUGACAUCAUCUGAUGAUGAUUCAGAUUUGAGCAGUUAUGAAGAGAAACAUGACAAAGAGGAGUUUAUAAAAGAAAAGACUGAACAAUUUGAUAGAAAAGAUACUACAUGUAGUGAUGAAGAAUAUGGACCUGGUGAAGCAUUAGCAGUAGAAGAGUUCACAGAAAUGAAAGAUAAAAUAAAUGUCAUUGAUAAUAAAUUUGCCAAUGUUGAUAUGUCUGUAUCAUUACGUGAUGUAUUAUUGAAUAUCGAAGACACAACUUUUGCCACAUUAGCUGCUAUGUCUUCUACAAUAAGAAUUGAAGAUGAAACAUCACCAGAUGAUGAAUGUUUAAGUCCCACUGAAUCUGAGUCAGCUGAAUUUCCACAUAGUAAAACAGAAUCUACAAAUAAUGAUAAACGUGACAGUAUGUCACCAAUUUUGCGAUGCAAUAUCUCCAAAUCCGGUUCUUUUUCAUCAGACACUAGAGAUUUUUUUGAUGAUGAGAUAGCUGAUCAACCAGCACUUAUGUUUAGUGGUCCUCCAUCAGAGUCUUGCAAUGCAGAAGAUAUUGAUGAUGCUAUAUUUCGACUUGGAAACCAUUCCAGUUGUAACAAAAAAUCCAAAUCCUUGAGAAGAUCACUAAGUGCUGAUGGGUCCUUAAGUGAGAGUCUCAACUCUGACGAUCUGAUGCUUGAUGUUGACUAUGAUCAAACAGAUGAUAAAUUGGUCGAUCCUGAUAAUGAAGACCUAUUGAAAACACUGGAGAGUACCAAACAAAACGCAUUUAAUGAAUGGAAAUCUUUGACAUCUCCGAGAAACAGUAGUAGUUCACUCAAAGACGAAGUUCCAGUCAAAGAUGAAACAGAUUCUAAAGGCAGCAAUGGGGAUGUUCUAAUGAGCUUCGAUCGAUUUCGAGAGGUAACGGACGACAUAGCGAGUAUCAAGAACAUGCUAUUCGAACUAAACCGUGCCCUAAUAGAGGACAAGCAAGAUAUAACCUACCCAGAAGACCAGGAAGUCCAUUGCUGUUACGAGAAUCAAAUCUUGGAUUUGAAACAACAGGAGCUGAGUUGCGGAUCGUCCGUUUCAGAUAGCUUAUAUGGCCCAACAAAUGGAACAGAAGGACCGUACUAUUCAAAUGCUCAACGAACAGAUAGCCCAACGACCACGGCCAUCAAUAACAACAAUAGAAACCCGAAAUGCUGCCACUCAAACAGACAGAUGUCGGUCGACCACAGCUCCAACAUUAUGCACAUUCGAUAGAGAAGGACAAGCAAAUGGUCGUCCUGUAAUAAGGAGUCAAUUAUUUUAACACAACAAUACGUGCAGUGACAUGACAGAGAGAUCAAAGUCUGUGUCGGGCAAUCGCAUACGUAUCGGCAUGCUAAAGCACAAAUUUCUCAUGGACGCAGGGCGUACGUUGCCGAACGUUUG
This 2624-nucleotide unclassified non-coding RNA is filed under the name Acyrthosiphon pisum (pea aphid). RNAcentral describes it as "putative leucine-rich repeat-containing protein DDB_G0290503, transcript variant X12". The record is from RNAcentral. Lineage: Eukaryota; Metazoa; Arthropoda; Insecta; Hemiptera; Aphididae.